CUAGGCCCUCUGCACUGUGGUCAGUUUGCCCCACAGGUACUCAGCAAGGUAAAUGGGGCUGGGAGAAGUGGUAUGGGAGAAGGAAGGAGAGCAGGGCAUGCUGAGAAGACAGUGCUUUCCUGUGUGCAGUGCUGUGAGUAAAUACGAUAUAAUGCAACAGGACAUGAGUUGACUGGGCUUCCUGUCUAAUUUCUCCAAGAUAAGGAGGCUGCAAAGCUCAGAAUCCUCAGAACUCAACCUGCCCUGAUAGCAUCUGAGCCACCAUGGGAACCCGAGGUGACGCGUAUCCAUUGGGGCUCUGCAUCGCCCUGUGCCUGGGGGGCACCGUGGCCCAGAAUAAUGGCGUAGAAGGUACCACUGAGGACUGUAACAACCAUGUGCUGUGCCCAGCAAACGCCAAGUGUGUGAACAACACUCACUGCACCUGCCUGGAUGGAUACCAGCCACAUGGGAAUCGCUUCUUCACCGACCCAACGGAGCCCUGUG
Chrysemys picta bellii (western painted turtle) is the source of this 486-nucleotide non-coding RNA. NCBI's taxonomy places the organism in Eukaryota, Metazoa, Chordata, Testudines, Emydidae. The record is from RefSeq and is a predicted model, not a curated record.